AACUUUCAACAACGGAUCUCUUGGCUCUCGCAUCGAUGAAGAACGCAGCGAAAUGCGAUAAGUAAUGUGAAUUGCAGAUUUUCAGUGAAUCAUCGAAUCUUUGAACGCA
This 109-nucleotide ribosomal RNA is filed under the name uncultured fungus. RNAcentral's name for it is "5.8S ribosomal RNA". It matches the Rfam family "5.8S ribosomal RNA", at positions 1 to 108 of the family's 154-position model. Rfam says of the family: 5.8S ribosomal RNA (5.8S rRNA) is a component of the large subunit of the eukaryotic ribosome. It is transcribed by RNA polymerase I as part of the 45S precursor that also contains 18S and 28S rRNA. RNAcentral also lists the same sequence under 1 other name. The record is from RNAcentral. Lineage: Eukaryota; Fungi.